Long non-coding RNA from Clupea harengus (Atlantic herring), 1127 nucleotides. The record is from Ensembl. NCBI's taxonomy places the organism in Eukaryota, Metazoa, Chordata, Actinopteri, Clupeiformes, Clupeidae.
UACACACACUAUCUCUAUCUAAAUUGAAUCAAUUCAACUCAAUGUGUUUCAUUGACUCUGCAAAAUCUGUAGUCAUAUCUGCAUGGCAUCACCACAUGACAGAGAGCACUUGAAAGGAACACGCAGAGCAUUCCAGAAUGUUCUGAUCAAAGAGUCAGGACAUAAGACUGUUUCACGUCAAACACAUAAAGAAAAUUGUUCUCCCCUCCCUUUUUCUGUUCCUCAUUUUUCCCCAGUCACCCCCCCCCCCUCCCAUCCCCCUCCCAUCCCCCCCUCCCUUUCAGUAGUGUGGGACACAUGUCUUGAACGUGACACCCGAAUGAUGAUGUCACAGAGGGGAGGGGGGGGGCCUGACUGAGCUGAGUGGACCCUGCUGCCGUGGUGGUCGUUCGGUGGGCGGGGCCCCACGUCAUAAACACUCAGCUCAUUUCAUAUUAAUGAGCGCUCGGUUCACUCUCCCUCUGCGCCGGCCUGAGCGUGUGCAGUUUGCAGGCUUGUGUUUAGUGAUAUAGUGCACUGGCAGCUGUUUCACUGCAUCUACAGAACAUGGCUGUGUGGAGGCUAAAAUGGCUCCUCCGUGCCGUCCUCCUGGGUGAGCAGCCGCCAACUCAGCCUUCGGCUUCAGCUCCACAGGCCUCCACGCUGGUUGGAAAGACAAACAGACAUUUUUUUUUUUUACUUAUAAGAAACUACUAUUCUCUGGUGUAAAACACUCCACUACAGCUAUAUUGAUUAUCGCUAAGCUCUAUUGGAUUUUUACCCUGCUUACUGCUUAUUAUUUUAUAUCAUUAUAAUUGGUUUCAUCUUCUCUCACACAUUAUGUAAACAUCCCAUUGCACAUCUUUUUUAAAUCUCUUUGGGUGACUAUUGUAUUUUCUCUAUGUUUUUAUUUUAAUAUUUCCUUUGUCUCCCUUCCCUGUCCCUGCGUUUCGCUGCGGUGUGCUAAAUGCAUGUUUGGCGGAGUGAGUGAUGUUUCAUAAUGGAUGGCGCUGUCGCAGGGGCCUCUGAGGCGCAGCGCUCUGCAGUGGGGGCUGAUGGGAGAGCAGAGGUGUGCUGCAUUCUCUCUCACACACACACACACACACACACACACACACACAGACACUCAUCCCUAGCACAGUCGUCAC